UACGAAGGGGGCUAGCGUUGCUCGGAAUUACUGGGCGUAAAGCGCACGUAGGCGGCUAUUCAAGUCAGAGGUGAAAGCCCGGGGCUCAACCCCGGAACUGCCUUUGAAACUAGGUAGCUAGAAUCUUGGAGAGGUCAGUGGAAUUCCGAGUGUAGAGGUGAAAUUCGUAGAUAUUCGGAAGAACACCAGUGGCGAAGGCGACUGACUGGACAAGUAUUGACGCUGAGGUGCGAAAGCGUGGGGAGCAAACAGG
This 253-nucleotide ribosomal RNA is filed under the name uncultured bacterium. RNAcentral describes it as "partial 16S ribosomal RNA". It matches the Rfam family "Bacterial small subunit ribosomal RNA", at positions 524 to 776 of the family's 1533-position model. The record is from RNAcentral.